RNAcentral lists this ribosomal RNA (327 nucleotides) under uncultured Pseudomonadota bacterium. RNAcentral's name for it is "bacterial SSU rRNA". It matches the Rfam family "Bacterial small subunit ribosomal RNA", at positions 30 to 351 of the family's 1533-position model. The record is from RNAcentral. Lineage: Bacteria; Pseudomonadati; Pseudomonadota.
AUUGAACGCUGGCGGAAUGCUUUACACAUGCAAGUCGAACGGCAGCAUGACCUAGCUUGCUAGGUUGAUGGCGAGUGGCGAACGGGUGAGUAACGCGUAGGAAUAUACCCUAAAGCGGGGGACAACUUGGGGAAACUCAAGCUAAUACCGCAUAAGCUCUAAGGAGUAAAGCUAGGGACCGCAAGGCCUGGCGCUUUAGGAAUAGCCUGCGUCCGAUUAGCUAGUUGGUAGGGUAAAGGCCUACCAAGGCGACGAUCGGUAGCUGGUCUGAGAGGAUGAUCAGCCACACUGGAACUGAGACACGGUCCAGACUCCUACGGGAGGCAG